CGAGCUUGCGACGAACGUCCGGCCACGCCAUCGAUUCCCACAGGAGAGCCCCAGGAGAUGAAGCGAUUCACCGACCAACGUCAUUUACGCGAAUCCCGCAUCCUGGACCGUCGUCGGACCGGCGCCGUCAACUAGUUUGCCCGAACUAUCGCCGAGGAGCGUGCAUUUCCGGCUGAAGAACGCCUUCCGUCACGCGGAAGCUACCACCUAUCGAUCGGCACCGUCGAUCGCUCGGAUCAUCCUCAGCAGAGCGUCGUCGUGCGAUUCGACGUGUACCUCGGAACGACGGGCCGAGGAACGAGAAACGGAAGGGAUCCGGACGAGCAACGCCGUCGAACGAAAGCAGCGUGCUCGCGGACGAGAAAGGGUCGCCGCGGUUGAAUUCGACGUUCGAAAACAACCAGAGGGGGAAAAAAGAACGCUCCGUUUCCCCGGCUCCUCUUCGUUUUCUCUCGCUGCGCCCGGCCCGAAAAUGUCGGGGCGCGCGAUAAACGUAACCGCCCGCGUGCCCGAAGUGCCACGAGGAAAAAUAUCGUGGCCGAAUCGAAUUUAAGUCCCGCGCGUCCGUCCCGUGCAAACCGCCGCUCGCCGGGGCGCGGUUUUUCCCGGCGGCGCGCGCUCCACUAACUUUAAUUUUCCCCCCGAAGUGCUCGCCGCUCGCGGAUCAUUUGAGCGAGCCGGAAAUUAAAACGGACGUUCGAAUGAUCGUCUAAUCGCACGGCCGAUUCACCCCGUGCUUUUUGAUUUUCCCUUCCAAUAUCGCGCUCCCCGGGGGCGGCCGCCGCCGGAGAGGACGUCGCGGAUAUUAGUUCCCCGUGACAAACGGCUCGCAGAUCCCCAGGGACUUUCAUUUUUGUUUCCGAAUCCGAGGGAAGCGGGAGAAGCCGAGCGGAGGAGUCGGACGUCGUAAACCUUCCCCGUGAGCACGUGCGGAUCGUUACAGCGCCACGUGGACGCGCGGCGAUUCCGUUUUACGGGAUCGCGGAAAGAAAGACUCGACCCGGACGAUCCCGAGAUCUUGUAAUAGGAUUCCCGGGAUCAACGAGUCUCUCUAGGUGUCGGUGUCUUCGAGGCGGGACACGUAAUUGCGCGGACCGACGGAUUCGGCCGAUUUCCAAAGAUUCUCGUCUUCGUACAAUAGAACCGUGACUCCGCUCCCGGAAGCUACGAUUUAUUUAUUCGUUUAAUCUCUCGACCGAACAGCUAGCACUUGAACGCAAUAUUUCUUUCCCGCGAAACUUUAACGAAAGGAUCGCGUGUCGCGACGAUCGACAGCGCUGAAAUAUUCAACGAUUAAAGUACGCCCGCCUCGAGGAACGCGACCGAACGUUCAGAGUCACGAAUGAAUCCGGCGCGGAAGGUGCUCCUCGGUUUUCGACGGCUCGUUGCAGCGUGCGACGGGGACGCGUCCAGGACGCUCUUUGUACAAAGUAUUCCUUGUAUCCCCGGUGCGGAGCGUGUACAAUCUGCCACCGAUCGAUCGAGACGCCGAGCGUACGAGCGUGUCGUCUUUAAACACUUCGGAACGGAGAGGUCUGGCCCGGAGGGUCUCGGAGGAGGAAUCAGCGUUAUUACACCGAGCGUUCGGUACUUUAAUUAACGGAACUCGCGACGAGGCGUCGCCGUAAGAAUCGUAACGCCUCGGCAAAGUCCCGUGUAAUUACAUUUCCGGCCGCGUCGCCGUCGAAUCGUGAUAUCGGCCUCGAUUGGCCCGGCCGGGGCGAUUGCGAAAAAGGAACGGAGAGACCGGCGAGUGACGCCCGCGGAGAACAAGGCGCGUCGAUAAUAAUCAACGCGGGGACACCGAUCGCCGAGACUUUUACCGGAAGUCUCGAAUCGGAUGCAGAUCCACGAGUCACGAUCGUUCGGCGUUUCGCAGGCGCGACAAGUAUAUUCCGCUGGAUCGCGGGCAAUUCGACGAAUCGGAUGCGUCGCGUUCGUUCGGUUAAACGAACGCUUCCGUCAACAACGCGGAGCAAUUCGGGAACGAAGCUGUGCCGCCUCGCGUCGACUUCGAUCGGUGUGGACACGCACGCGCCAAACUUUUUACAUUUUUAGAGGUAUAAACGAUCACCGUAUAAAUAGUUGCCGUACGAACGAGCGAACAAAGUGUUCCCAAGCGUUCUCCCGCGGGAGAGAGGAGAGAGGAUGUACUUAAACCACUCCUAACUACACGAACACAAACACACGUACAUACACACAUAUAUACACUGACACACACACCAAAGACUUUUUCAAACGAGAUGAAUAUACCAUGGUAGCGUAUGAUGUCCGU
Nomia melanderi (Alkali bee) is the source of this 2275-nucleotide long non-coding RNA. RefSeq lists it as uncharacterized. NCBI's taxonomy places the organism in Eukaryota, Metazoa, Arthropoda, Insecta, Hymenoptera, Halictidae. The record is from RefSeq and is a predicted model, not a curated record.